Molecule: long non-coding RNA, 1161 nt
Filed under: Olea europaea subsp. europaea
Lineage: Eukaryota; Viridiplantae; Streptophyta; Magnoliopsida; Lamiales; Oleaceae
Source: RNAcentral
AAAUUUUAGGGAAAAAUACCAACAACUCUAGGAUUAAAGAGUAGUUUUCAUAAAUAAGGGGGUUAAAUUUAAAAUUCAAAUUUCAUGUGUUAAUUACAAUUAUUGAUUUAAUAUUAUAUUAAAUAAAUAUAUUACUAAUAAUUCAAUCCACCACAUCCAAUCCUUCACUCCCACACACACUACCACUCUCAUCCUCUCUCUCUCUUGCUUUAUAUCUCAUUCUUCUUCCCCUUUCUCUCUCCCUGACUAUAUAUUUUGUAUAUCUAUCAUCAAUUCGACAACCACCCACCACGACGAUGUCGUGAGAGCUACUGAUGAUGACUUGCAACUUGCGGUGAGGCGUGCCAUCAACAGAAGAAGGCAUUCUAAGGUGAAUUUCCAACUACCGAGGGAUCUACAUCUGGUGUCGGAUCCAUUCAAAGCCUCAGUAGAAAGUGUGAAUAAGAUGGGAUCGGAGGAUGAUCUGUACGAGUCUUGUGUUUUUCAAAGUUGUUAGUGGUCCUUCUGUUAUGGUGUGAUGCCCGUGAUGUGGUGGUGGUUAGUAUUUGUUAAAGGUGUUGGUGGAAGUGAUCGUGAUGGUGUUUGUUUUUGUGGAUUUGAAGUAAAGGUCGACUGGAGUUGAAAGUGGUAGUGGUGGUGGCAAUGAGUGGUCAUGGAUUGUGGUGUUGGUCUUUGGUGUAUGUAGAUUUAUUUGUGAUGAUCCUAUGUGAUUAAAUAUGUGUUUAUUGUGACCCGAUGUGACUAACUUUGUCUUCAUUGUGACUGUCAGUAACCAGAUUAAUGGUGAGUCGCAAAUUCGACGAAUUUGGUCAUAGACAGUUACACUAAAGAUAAAUUUGAUCACAAUUAGUCACAUCUAAUACAUGUCUGUGAUUGUAGUAUUUAUGGUCAUAGAUUUGAGUUGAAGGUGAUAGUAGUGGUGCAUUAGAGGUGAUGUGUUGGUGACUAGUGGUGGAUUGUGUUGUUGUAAUGCGGUGUGUGUAGAUUUGUUCGUGGUAACCCUCCAUGAUCAAGUAUGUGUUUAUUAUGACUAGUUGUAACCAAUUUUGCAUUAAUUGUGACUUGUUGUAAUUUGGUCACAUACCUUCACCGUUAAGAUUGAUUUUGUUACAAAGUCACAUAUAAACCAGGUAUAGUCACAAACUAUAAAUUUUAUCACAG